This is a non-coding RNA of Caranx melampygus (bluefin trevally), 73 nucleotides long. The record is from the annotation of a GenBank genome assembly. NCBI's taxonomy places the organism in Eukaryota, Metazoa, Chordata, Actinopteri, Carangiformes, Carangidae.
GUUUCCGUAGUGUAGUGGCUAUUACGUUUGCUUCACACGCGACAGGUCCCUGGUUGGAAACCGGGUGGAAACA